Molecule: ribosomal RNA, 561 nt
Filed under: Alternaria alternata
Lineage: Eukaryota; Fungi; Ascomycota; Dothideomycetes; Pleosporales; Pleosporaceae
Description: eukaryotic LSU rRNA
Rfam family: 5.8S ribosomal RNA (bases 200-353)
Source: RNAcentral
GGUCUCCGUAGGUGAACCUGCGGAGGGAUCAUUACACAAAUAUGAAGGCGGGCUGGAACCUCUCGGGGUUACAGCCUUGCUGAAUUAUUCACCCUUGUCUUUUGCGUACUUCUUGUUUCCUUGGUGGGUUCGCCCACCACUAGGACAAACAUAAACCUUUUGUAAUUGCAAUCAGCGUCAGUAACAAAUUAAUAAUUACAACUUUCAACAACGGAUCUCUUGGUUCUGGCAUCGAUGAAGAACGCAGCGAAAUGCGAUAAGUAGUGUGAAUUGCAGAAUUCAGUGAAUCAUCGAAUCUUUGAACGCACAUUGCGCCCUUUGGUAUUCCAAAGGGCAUGCCUGUUCGAGCGUCAUUUGUACCCUCAAGCUUUGCUUGGUGUUGGGCGUCUUGUCUCUAGCUUUGCUGGAGACUCGCCUUAAAGUAAUUGGCAGCCGGCCUACUGGUUUCGGAGCGCAGCACAAGUCGCACUCUCUAUCAGCAAAGGUCUAGCAUCCAUUAAGCCUUUUUUUCAACUUUUGACCUCGGAUCAGGUAGGGGAUACCCCGCAGAACUUAAGCAUA